AUGGUCCUCCUGCAGGGACCGCCGCGGCUCCACUCCCCACACCGCGCUGUCGGUGCUCUGCUUCCCCCCACAGCUCGGCCAAACCCGGCGCGGGGCCGUGCAGGAGCGAGCCCCCCGCAGAGAGGGGCAGGGGAGAGACCCCAGAGCGCCCCGAGCCGGAGGGGACCCGCAGGGAUCGCCGAGUGCAACCCCUGGCUUCACGCGGGACCGCCCCAGUACCCCAACCCCACGUCUGAGAGCGGUGUCCAGAGGCUUCGUGAGAGUCCCUCGGGCUCGGGGCCAUGCCCAAGUCCCUGGGGAGCCCGUCCCAGUGCCGGCCACCUCUGGCGGCCACCCCUCCUGACACAGCCCGGCCUCCCGCAGCCGGUCACGGAGGAGCUGCAGGAGGGCCGGGAUCCCCGUGUGCGCUUCCCCAGGCGCCUCCUCCUCCCCGGGCCGAGCCAGGCCGACUCCAACCCGCCUGUCUUGUCAUCGCCCCGGCGCCCAGGAGAAGCCAACGGCGCGCAGCACCCGGCCGGCUCCCCACGGGCGGUGCCGAUCCAGGCCACGCUCACGCCAGCUCUGCCAAACCGCCCCUUCCCCGGCUCCCUCUUCCCGCAGCCCAUCUCCUUCGGUCUCUCUCUUCUCUCCCAGUUCUUCCCUACCCCCAGAGGCCACCUGCACCCCACUCACCUGAGGGACACCCGUGCUCCGCUCCUGUCCCCAGCCCCUCCUUCCCACGCCUCUCGGGCCCUGCCCUCCUCCCUGCUCCUCCCAGUCAGGCUUUACCAGGCUCGUGUGGCACCGGGGACUCCCUUUUCCCUCUCCUCUGGGGCCUCUGUCUGUUUUUCCAGCCCUAGCACCUCUCUCAGUGUAUUUUCCUGGCUCUCCUCGUUCACCAGCCAUACCGCCUGGCAGUGCCUCAUGGGGACUCGGCGUAGCUCCCAACUCCUUCGCCUCCCGUUCCUCCUGCAGCCCCAACGCCGCCUCACUGACCUCCUCCUCUCCCAGCACUUGCUCCUCGGAGCCCUGCGCCCUUCCUGCCGCGCUUCCCCCUGCCUGCGACAAGCCCUGUGCUGCCUCGGCCCCCCGUUUUCUCCAGCGAUCCACCCGCACGUCGCCUGAAGAGUUGGUUUAUUGCUGCGUGGCUCCAUCCUGCCACCGGACAAGAGCACAAAACGCGCUUUGCCACACUCUUCCCAUCCUGGUUGGGCAGGGGAACACCGGGGAGCAGCUCUCCCCACCGCCUCACGCAGCCCGAGCGCCGCGGGUCCUCGCCGCGCCGGGAGAAGCCCGGGGAAAGGAGCUCGCUGGCACGCGGCGAGCGCUCCCCCUCCGCUCCGGGUUCCCAAACACCCGCCGGCUCCCCAGCUACCUGCCCGCCCCGAACCUGCCCCGCCGUGUCUCCGCGGCGCGGGCCGGGCGGCCAAACCAUUCCUUCCCAGUGACGCAAGCCCGGGACGGCGGAACGACGGGGUGUGCUCUGCCCCGUCCCCAGCACGCCUUGGCUGCACCGCCCGCACCCACGAGGCGCUCGGAGAAGCCGGUGCCAGAGCCGCCUGCUCCCUGUGGCCCCAGCACGCUCCUUUUCCUCCACGGCCCCUCGGUGACGCCAGCUCCGCCCGUUUGCCACCUCCUCAGCCUUAAACGAAGGCCGCCGAGUUGAUCGGCUCUCCUCGCUUCGCUCUAGACGAGGCUAUGGCCGGGUUUCGUACCCCAGCAGAAGACCUGUGGUGUCGGGUGUGGGCGGGCAGCUCCCCCGAGCACCAACACCCAGAAGCUCCCGAGGACGCCGCUUCCCAGGGAGUCACCACCAAGGAGCGCCGGGAAGGCCCGAGUCCCUCUCUCCUGAAUCAGCGAGAUACAGGGGGUGGCUCCGCGGGGCUUUUAUCUCGUCGCAGGGAGACGCGGCCAGCUAACCGGGGCCGGUAAUUUGGGAUUAACAGGCUUCACGGCGACAAUCUGGCCCCGCUUAGCGAGAAGUCAGGUUGAACACCUGCCAGCGCAGCCCAUUACGUCAGCGGGGCCGGAGAACAGCGAGGAAACGCGCUCCGAGGAGCAGUUCCUCUCCGGGCAGGGCAGCGACGUGUGGCCGGGACCAGGCGCUGAGCUUCUGGUCACCGCC
This is a long non-coding RNA of Anser cygnoides (Swan goose), 2104 nucleotides long. The record is from Ensembl. NCBI's taxonomy places the organism in Eukaryota, Metazoa, Chordata, Aves, Anseriformes, Anatidae.